CCCUUAGAUGUUCUGGGCCGCACGCGCGCUACACUGAUGCAUUCAACGAGCCUAUCCUUGACCGACAGGUCCGGGUAAUCUUUGAAUCUGCAUCGUGACGGGGAUAGAUUAUUGCAAUUAUUAAUCUUCAACGAGGAAUGCCUAGUAGGCGCAAGUCAUCAGCUUGCGUCGAUUACGUCCCUGCCCUUUGUGCACACCGCCCGUCGCUCCUACCGAUUGGGUGUGCUGGUGAAAUGUUCGGAUCGGCCGUUUGUCGCGGUUUCCGCGUCAUGUGGCUGAGAAGUUCAUUAAACCCUCCCACCUAGAGGAAGGAGAAGUCGUAACA
RNAcentral lists this ribosomal RNA (325 nucleotides) under uncultured eukaryote. RNAcentral describes it as "partial 18S ribosomal RNA". It matches the Rfam family "Eukaryotic small subunit ribosomal RNA", at positions 1470 to 1796 of the family's 1831-position model. The record is from RNAcentral.